RNAcentral lists this long non-coding RNA (526 nucleotides) under Homo sapiens (human). Its description in RNAcentral is "non-protein coding lnc-ARHGEF26-12:1". The record is from RNAcentral. Lineage: Eukaryota; Metazoa; Chordata; Mammalia; Primates; Hominidae.
CAGACAAACAAAAAGACAGCAGUAACCUCUGCAGACUUAAAUGUCCCUGUCUGACAGCUUUGAAGAGAGCAGUGGUUCUCCCAGCACGCAGCUGGAGUUCUGAGAAAGGGCAGACUGCCUCCUCAAGUGGGUCCCUGACCCCUGACCCCCGAGCAGCCUAACUGGGAGGCACCCCCCAGUAGGGGUAGACUGCCACCUCACACGGCCAGGUACUCCUCUGAGACAAAACUUCCAGAGGAACGAUCAGACAGCAGCAUUCGCAGUUCACGAAAAUCCGCUGUUCUGCAGCCACUGCUGCUGAUACCCAGGCAAACACGGUCUGGAGUGGACCUCUAGCAAACUCCAACAGACCUGCAGCUGAGGGUCCUGUCUGUUAGAAGGAAAACUAACAAACAGAAAGGACAUCCACACCAAACACCCAUCUGUACAUCAUCAAAGACCAAAAGUAGAUAAAACAAUAAAGAUGGGGAAAAAACAGAGCAGAAAAACUGGAAACUCUAAAAAGCAGAGCGCCUCUCCUCCUCCA